RNAcentral lists this ribosomal RNA (253 nucleotides) under uncultured bacterium. RNAcentral's name for it is "partial 16S ribosomal RNA". It matches the Rfam family "Bacterial small subunit ribosomal RNA", at positions 524 to 776 of the family's 1533-position model. The record is from RNAcentral.
UACGUAGGGGGCAAGCGUUGUCCGGAUUUAUUGGGCGUAAAGAGCGUGUAGGCGGCCAGGUAGGUCCGUUGUGAAAACUGGAGGCUUAACCUCCAGCUGUCGAUGGAAACCAUCUGGCUAGAGUCCGGAAGAGGAGAGUGGAAUUCCUGGUGUAGCGGUGAAAUGCGCAGAUAUCAGGAAGAACACCCGUGGCGAAGGCGGCUCUCUGGUACGUGACUGACGCUGAGACGCGAAAGCGUGGGGAGCGAGCAGG